GCUUGUCUCAAAGAUUAAGCCAUGCAUGUCUUAGUGUAAAUAACUCUUAUGAAACUGCGAAUGGCUCAUUAAAUCAGUUAUCGUUUAUUUGAUGGUCCCUUACUACAUGGAUAACCGUAGUAAUUCUAGAGCUAAUACAUGCACAAAGGCCCGACUCACGAAGGGCUGUAUUUAUUAGAUAAAAGACCGACCGGACUUUGUCCGACCCGCGGUGAAUCAUGAUAACUUCACGAAUCGCACAGGCUUGUCCUGGCGAUGUUUCAUUCAAAUUUCUGCCCUAUCAACUUUUGAUGGUAGGAUAGAGGCCUACCAUGGUGGUAACGGGUGACGGAGGAUUAGGGUUCGAUUCCGGAGAGGGAGCCUGAGAAACGGCUACCACAUCCAAGGAAGGCAGCAGG
This 398-nucleotide ribosomal RNA is filed under the name uncultured Mychonastes. RNAcentral's name for it is "partial small subunit ribosomal RNA". It matches the Rfam family "Eukaryotic small subunit ribosomal RNA", at positions 30 to 432 of the family's 1831-position model. The record is from RNAcentral. Lineage: Eukaryota; Viridiplantae; Chlorophyta; Chlorophyceae; Sphaeropleales.